AGCUCCAAUAGCGUAUAUUAAAGUUGCUGCAGUUAAAAAGCUCGUAGUUGGAUUUGUGGCGCGGUCGUCCGGCUCGGAUCCUUCAUUGGGCCCGCAUGUCUGGUUUUUCGGCCGCCCCAUUCUCGGGUAGUGUGUCGCUGGCAUUAGGUUGUCGGCUUCUUCACGCCCGUCGUUUACUGUGAAAAAAUUAGAGUGUUCAAAGCAGGCUUAGGCCGUUGGAUACAUUAGCAUGGAAUAAUGAGAUAGGGCCACGACGGUCUAUUUUGUUGGUUUGCACGUUGUGGUAAUGAUUAACAGGAACGGUUGGGGGUAUUCGUAUUCAAUUGUCAGAGGUGAAAUUCUUGGAUUUAUGGAAGACGAACUACUGCGAAAGCAUUUACCAAGGAUGUUUUCAUUAAUC
This 400-nucleotide ribosomal RNA is filed under the name phytoplankton environmental sample. RNAcentral's name for it is "partial small subunit ribosomal RNA". It matches the Rfam family "Eukaryotic small subunit ribosomal RNA", at positions 587 to 978 of the family's 1831-position model. The record is from RNAcentral.